UACGUAGGGGGCAAGCGUUGUCCGGAUUCAUUGGGCGUAAAGAGCUCGUAGGCGGUCUGUCGCGUCGGCUGUGAAAACCCGAGGCUCAACCUCGGGCCUGCAGUCGAUACGGGCAAACUAGAGUACUGCAGGGGAGACUGGAAUUCCUGGUGUAGCGGUGAAAUGCGCAGAUAUCAGGAGGAACACCGGUGGCGAAGGCGGGUCUCUGGGCAGUAACUGACGCUGAGGAGCGAAAGCGUGGGGAGCGAACAGG
This 253-nucleotide ribosomal RNA is filed under the name uncultured bacterium. RNAcentral describes it as "partial 16S ribosomal RNA". It matches the Rfam family "Bacterial small subunit ribosomal RNA", at positions 524 to 776 of the family's 1533-position model. The record is from RNAcentral.